This 17344-nucleotide long non-coding RNA is filed under the name Prunus persica (peach). RNAcentral's name for it is "long non-coding RNA (PPER_LNC004339)". The record is from RNAcentral. Lineage: Eukaryota; Viridiplantae; Streptophyta; Magnoliopsida; Rosales; Rosaceae.
CUGUAUCAGAACUACCUCUUGGAAGGUUCUCUAUAACGUCAGGCAGCAAGUCAUCAAGACUAAGGAAUGAUGCAAUUCUAUCAAGGGAUACCUUAGUUUGUGCUAUCAUUGAAAUUGUGUCUGGAAGAUUGUAGAUAGGCUCUUGAAGAAUCCUGAAUGUUGCAAGUGCAGAUAAGAUCUUCCCGGACUCAAGUGGGAUCCCCAAAAGCAUGCAAGCAACGAAAGUGACCACUGACACAAAUGUGGGGGCACCCCAGAAAACAAAUGAGGUCAUGGCAGACGUGUAAACAAACUUUCGUAACCAUCCUGCCUCAGUCUUCCUGAGCUCAUUAAUUUUAGACAAAAACUUCAUCUCCCAUGCUUGAAGCUUGAGAAUCCUCAUGUUCCUCAAGACCUCAGAUGUUGCCUUCAUCCUUUUAUCUUUCGACUCCAUUAACUUUUCCUGAAACUUCUCCUGCAAGGACCCCAAAGGAACAUUUGCCAACAUAACAAUUAUUGUUGCAACUAAAGUUGCAAUGGCUGCAAGACCAAGAUUUAUGUACAAAAUCACUAGGGCCAAGCCAACUUGUAGAAUGACCAUCCAUGGAUCAUGCAUGAACCAAGAGAAGUCACCAACCCUCUCAGCAUCAACAGUCAUAAAAUUGAUAAUCUCACCGCUAGUGUGGCCCUGCUUGGACUGGCAUGAGAGGGUCAAACCCUUAUUAUAGAUCGCUGUAACAAGUACUGCUCGGAUUCUUACUCCUACCUGUUGUGCCUUAAAGAACCAGUGCCUUUGACUGAGGCACUCCACCAGCUUCGCAAUCAUAAAUGCAGAAACCAAAGCGUAGCCUUCAUUUUUGAACUUUCUCCGCCCAUAGAGGUAUUGAACAAAUGUGUCGAUUAGAUAUGGACCGACAUAAGAUGCCAAUGUGUAAAAUAUAGCAUAUAACCCUGUCCAGCCAACCUCUUUCCAGGCCGAGAAUAUCAAUGCCUUCACCAGAUGAAAUGUGGUAACCCUGCCAUCCGCACCACACUCCGCCUCAAGUUUAUUUCUAAAAUUUGGAAAGGACCCAACUACACUAUCACCCUUGUAUAGUUCAGGAACAUCCUCAAGGUCUAAUGUCUUCUUAUUGCCAAGCGCAAUUAGAGGACCCAUCCAAGAAAGAGUAAGGAGGCUGAAAAUUCCAGCAUUUGAAUAAGGGGUAACAGGUGUACGCCCUUUGGAAUUAUUUGACUCUGCAUUACCAUUACCAUUACCAUUCAAAAGGGGUUCCUCAAGAACUGUAUUUCUGCCCUCUUUCUUCCCAAAAAACCCCACAUAUAUAAAGAACAAACCCGAGAUGACGCAGACAACAUCAAAAACUAAAGAUUGAACGGGCAAGGAAACGUGUUCCUUGUAAAGAAGGAUAUCUAUCACAAGGGAAUAGCAAGAGAUAGAAAAGUAGGAACCCCACCAAAGUCUCAAUAAAUUUGGGAACUUUGAUUCAGAAGAAUUAGAGAACUGGGUAUGCAAGUAGAUACAAAGAGCACCCCAGGCAAGUGUUCUAAUGGCUAAAUCAAAAAGGGUCACUAGCUUUUCCUCAGACCAAUCAUUUCUAUGCCAAUAGAAGUAGUUCAAUAAACAAAAAACAAGACUGAGCCCAGAAACACCAAGACAACAGAGUAAAGUUAGCUUAUAAUACCAACUUUGAACACUCCCAAACCUCUGUUUUGGACCUUCUCCAUCACCCACCUUGAAUUUCUUCCACACCCAAGAGACGAGCAACACAAAUAACAAAACUAGGUGUAAUGAGCCAGAAAACCCACGUAUGAAAACCGGUUUGAGAAGAAAAUCGGUACCUGGAUACGUAAUGAAUGAUGAUGAGUAGUGUGAGAAGAAGGCUGAGAGAGCACCGUGCUUUGAAGAAUCAAAAAGCUCCAUAAUUUGUGGAGCUUUUUGUUGGGGGCUCUCUGAAAUUCUGGAAAAUGGGGUUUUGGUUGGAAUGGUUUGUUAUAUAGAGGGGAGAGAGAGAGAGAGAGAGAGGGAGAGAGAGAGAGAGAGAAAUUAGUUUGUGGACGACUCAGGGAGUGUAGUCAGAGAAUGGAGAGUCAAAUGUCAAUGUGAAUUUUUCCUGGAAGGUAGGCUAACGUGGUGCCCAAGACUCACAUCACGGAGAUAGCUAUAGAUGGCUGCAAAGUGACGCAGAAAAUUGUUGGUUCCAGGAAAUAUGUGAACUGAUGAUAGAGAGCGAUAGACCAAUCCAUUAUAAUCUCUCUCUUGUAGAGCCCACCAAAUUGUAUUUUAUCAAUUUAAACCUUCUAUUUUUUAGAUAUUUAUUCAAAAAUUAGCUCUAUUUAAAUAAAAUCAUUCUAUAUAUUUCUGUGUUUGAGGAAAAUUAUCAUAUAAAAUUGUUAUGUAUAGUUGACUUUGACUAAAGAGAUUCUAUAUGUGAUAUUUUUAUCUGUGGUGGGGAAAUGAGAGAACUUGAACCCAGCUUUGACACACAUAACAACAACAACAAAAAAACAAAAAAAAUAUAAAAAGAAACUGGAAAAAGUAUAUGGUAGAGAGGAAAGUUAGUGUAUGGUAGAGAGGAAAGUAAGCAAAUCCCGAUCACACAAGCCAGCCCUACAACCAGCUAAUGUCUGAGUUUACAACCAAUCUCUAUUAAAGAGCAAGACCCACCAUGAUGUGAUGUGGUGAAUGUGGUUUUGUGUGCACAGCAAGAUAAUUGAUAAUUUUGGAUCUUCUUGUGUUAAAUCAUAUGCUGGACUUACUAAGGUAAAAUAAGAAAAUAAGGGCAUAUCUGGUAAUGUUUUUAUAGAAUAUUUUUAGAGAAUGCUUUCAGAGAAUGAAAACGAGAAAACGAAUUUGCAUUUUCAGAAUUCAAGAAUGCAUCUGGUAGAUUAAUUAGAAAACAUAUUCAGAAUAUAAAAACAAUGAGAACAUGUCUGAUAGUACAAUUUGAGAAUAAUAAUAUGUGAGCUAUUUUUCAAGUGUAUUUUUGAUAAUGUAUGUUCUAAACAAAAUAAUUAAAAAUUAAUAAAAUUCUAAUGUUAGAAAAACCUAGAAUUAUCUUUAAUAAUAAGUGAAAAUGAUAAAUAAAAAAGUUGAAUUUUGUUGGUUAAUUGAUAAACUGAACAAGUAUGCAUCUAAGAAUAGUUUUUUAUACACACAAAUUUUUUUUUUCCCCAAAAUAAAUACAGAUUAUUGAGUAAAGAACUUCUUGUAGUAGGAUAUGAGAAUAAAAUAAACAAUGAAGUGUCAUUUCUUUUCAACUUUUGUUUUUUCAUUAAUAUUUUUUAAUGUUUAUUGUAACAAAAAAAACUAAAAUGAUCUGAAACUAAUGUUUAAUUAAAACAAGAUUAUAAAAUAAAAUAAAAAUGUUAGCACACUUUUUCUUCCUCCUUCUUCUCGACUUUUCUUCUCCCAAUUCACAAACUCCCCACUGCCCACCUCCCCUCUUUUUUCACUUUCACUUUCACUCUCUCAUCUCUUUUCAUACAUCCUCUCCUCCCAUGUGUGCUGGUGUCGCUUGGGUUUAUAUAAUACAUGUGAAAACAGCAACAAAAUCACACUGAAACACAUAAUUCAAAUCAAUAACUAUCACCCUCGAUUUGUUCAAUUGGGUUGGCGGUGGCUAUUACGGUUCGAGUGAUUGGGUGGUGAUGGUGGAGGGAGGCUAUGGCUUUGAGGAGUUUGAUUCAAGCCAAGGAUCUGAUUGUGGUGAAGGCUGUGGCCUUGGAGUCAGAGUGGGUCUCACAAAAGAAGGCAAAGAGAGAAAGGAAGAGACAGAGGGGUGUUUAAUUUUUGGGUAUGGGAUUUGAGAAAGGUGAGAAUGGAAUAGAGCAUGAUGAUGUCUUGUUCCAGCUUUAUUAUAGCAUCCACAGUGGGGGUGUAAAUUCGGGGGUGUAAAGCCACUUUUAUAUCCUAUUUACACCCCCGGGGUUGUAAAUACGUUUUUGGCUCCAAUGAAAAAAGAUAUAAAUCUAAGAUGUAUAAUUGUUUUGUUUGUCAUAAUUUGUUUUUGUGUUAAAUUUGUAUUUUGUGUUUACUUUAUAAAAUUAAAUUUUUUUGUAUUAGGUUAAUUUUAAUUUUUCAAACAAAUAGAUUUAAAAAUAUUUAAAUUCGAAAAAGAUAUGAUUUCAUCCAAAAACAUUGGGGAGCAUGAAAAUCACAAAUGAGCAAACAACAUCUGAUUUUUUUUUCAGCAAUUACUGUAGCCGCGGGUCCCAGCCUUUUAUGUUGACUUUUCUUCAUUUUUCUUCUCUUUUCUCGGGUGGAUCCCGCCUACAAAAGAUGUAAAAAUAGAUGUAAAUGUACAUUUUAUUUUACAUCUCUAUGGUGGUGAUGUAUAUUUACAACCCUUUACAUCUCUCCAUUAAAGACGAUUCCGGUGACAAGGGGUGUAUAUUUAACAUACACUCCCAUAUACACCCUCCUAUUGUGGAUGCUUUUAUGUAAAAUUGUUUGGGCAUGGCAAGAAUGUAAUCACAAAACAGUCAUUUUAUAUGCAACGCCAAAGUGACUUGGGGAGUUCAGGUUUAAGCAUGGCAGGAAUGGAUAGCCAUGGUCGGGACUCGGGACUGUAAUUAAAGGGAGGUGGGUGGCAUGUGAUCAAAAUUAACAAAAAAUUAGAAGGGCUUAAUUCUUAUUAUCCUUAUGUUCUGCUCUUACUUAAUUCUUAUUAAAAUGUAAUGGUAAGUUUUUUGUUUUUCAUUUCUUAAAUGUUGAAUGAGAUAUUGAUCAAAUAAGAAAAUUGAUAAACAAGAUAUUGUCAAUGGGAGCUGUUAGUGGCAAUCAAAAAUGUCAUAUUGCACUCAUCGUUUGUAAUUAUAUAAGGGAAAAUUACAUGAUGAUUUUUUUAAGUGCCAAAAAUAGUUCCUUUUAAUUAUAAUAUGAAAGCUAGAAAGUUGAUAUAGAUACAAAUUCUCAUUGAGGAGUUGGGGUUAAUCUUUAGAUUUGAUGACUUAGAUCUAAAUUAUUUAACUUUCCUGCCACAUAGGAUUACAUUCCUUUUUAAAAUAGGGUAAAGUACCGAAUACUCCUUUGAACUAUCAUCCUUGUUGAAAUCUACAUCCAGGAUUAAUUUUUCAGCCAAUUUAGGCAUUGUACUAAAUUUUAUCGCCAAUUUACCACUCACUGUUAAUUUUUGACAAUUUCUGUUCAAAUCUCUGUUAAAAAAGUCACAUGUCAGGCACAUGAUUUAUUGUUGAAUUAAAAAUUAAUUUUUUUAACCUCUUUCUUAUACUCUCUCUCUCUCAGCUAGUCUCGAACCCGGAUGGGUUUUUGGCUUUGAACACAAUCCCAAGCUACUGGAGACCAGCAAAUAUUUUUUUUCUUCCCUGCUUCGCCAAAGAGCUCGAAUGAGAGAAAUCAAUCGAAGAGAGAAGAGGUUAAAAUCAAUCGCCGGAAAAUCCAAAUUGGGGGCUGGGUAAUAUGGGUUUCGAUUGUGUUGGUUUUGGGCACAGAUAUAUUUAAGUAGGCUGCGGAGUAGAGGAAUGAAAAAUUGAAUUUACUUCCUGCAAAAUUUUAUUAAGAUGCUGGAUACAAAUUAAACCUUACUUUAAAGAAAAAAUUUCUAGGGUAGAGGAUUGCCAAAAGCAAGCUAAAUAUCCGAGUAAGGCAGCAUCAGGUGGCUAACAAUAAUUACAUCCUCAUCCCGUUUCAACAUACCAGAUCAGAGAGCCUUGAUAUCUACCUUCCCUUGACACACACUUGACAAUUGAGGUACUUCGCCAAGAUAUCUGUUCACACAUAUCUCCAACAACUGCUUCUCCGCAGGUUUCAGCAGAGAACCCAGACUCAAAUUCUCAUUUAUGAGACCUUUCAACAGCAGAACUUUAACAACAGAGCACCUUGGAAUAAGUCAAAUUGAACCAAAUUGGGGGCGGGGGUUUUGGAAGAGAUUUUUUGGCGAUUGUCUUGGCUAUUGUUGGGGUAGGGUGAGCUGAGGCAUAGGAGGAAGAAACAGGGAGAGAGAAGAAGAGACGAGGAGAUAGAGAGAGGGUUCGCAAGGGAGCCAGGUAAUUUCGGUUGCAGGGAAUCACGUGGCUAACAUGUCAAAUCUAGACGGAAAAUUGGAUGAAAUUGCAUGAAAACUGACGGUAGGGGUUAAAUUGGCCAUUUAAAAUAAUAUGAAGGAUAAAAUGGCUGAAAAAAUAAUUCAUGGUGGAGAUUUGGAUAAUUAAUAUAGUUCGGGGGUAUUCGGCAGUUUACCCUUUUAAAUAUAUUAUGAUGUAAUCUUUUUAUUUUUUUAUUUUAAAAUUAUUUUUGUUCCAAUGAUGCCUUUAUUCGGGUAAUAGUGUUUUAUGUCAUAAUAAUUAGCCAUUUACAAUAUUUGGCAUUGACUACAAAAGGCAGAUACAGCAGACGGGAGAAGCUAUUUAUAUUUUUUGGCAUUGAUAUAAUUGACUGUGUGGGGGUCUUUUUCUUCCGGCAGCUGCAAAUGGGCUGGGCUGCCGUAAAGGGGAAAUUACUGAAAUUGCCCCCUGUGCUUGAGUUCGAAAAUUAAGCCCCAAAAGCACUUCGAAAGGGCAGUAAAGCCUUAGGAAGUGUUCUGGUUACCUUCACCAACGAAAAUGAUGGCUGCUUACAGGUGAUUUAUGCUUGCUUACAGAUAAAGUUUUAGCUUAGCAUGAGGAGAUUGUGGCAUGGGAGCAAGGUCAGCAUGAGUUGAGCACCAAAGAGGAAAAUAAGGCUUCCUAGGGAGAAAUGGGAGUGUUUAAGAUGAGGGAGACAAGGUUUGCAGGAUGAUCUUGGCUAAAAAGGGGUAAAGGAAGGGCAUUACUUCUUCCGGCAGCUUGACAGACUCUGAAAAUAGUCUGUUAACAGAGAAGAACGAAGAAGAAGAGUGAAUAGGGCUACUGGAUUUUUACAAGUAAGAGAGGAAGCUUGCUCUCUCAGCCUGGGUUGGUUUUUGCUAGGUGGAGGGGACCUCCUUUUAUAGCUGCGGGAAACUAUCCUUUCCCAAGAAACCCUAAUGGUUUCUUCCCAAUCUUGGCAAGUCUUUCCAUCCUUUUUCCUCUCUUCUCUUGACUUUCCUAUCUGGGUGAGAUUUCCCCUUAUCUAUUUGCACAAAAUCAGGAGUUUUGGAGCUCAAGACCCCUUUUCCCGCGGCUGCUUCAGUAGGAAGCUCCACUCUUGGCUACUUUUCUUCUUCUUUCCCUUCUCCUUCCUGGGCCAGCACCGAUAAGGGAAAACAACUGGGUGUAUAUGCUGGUUUGAAAGGGUACUCCUCUUCCUGACAACUUACAUGCUAAUAUCCCUUGGUCUCUCUAGUGUUUUGUUUUGGGACUUGAUCCAUUCCCAUGUGCUGGCACUUUCCAGCAGCUCUGUUCAGUGAACCUGCAGACCUCCUCUACGUGGCUUCUACUUUUCUAGCAAAGGGCUGAGGCUUUUGUGGCUUGUUGUGGAAUUUUGUAUGGGCUAAGGUACUUCAUUAAAUAAGUGGGCUAUUUAAACAUUGGGCUUUUGGUUGGGCUAUCCUUUGACUGGGCUAAUUUUGGUUGGGUUAUUUUGAUUGAGUUAUUUUCCCCUCUUUGCUCACCCAUAUAUUUGGGCCUAAGAAAUGGGCUUGGGUUCCGAGGCUCCCAAGCAACUCGGAACCUCCAUUUCUCGUCCCAUCAAUGGGCCUCAUGACCACCUAUUACCAUCCAUACCACAACCCACUCAAGCAAGCCCCAGGCAUCUUGCGUGGCUUGGGCCCACUUAAGCUUGUAGCAUGGCAUGUUGUUUAUUUGCUUGGCGUGGCAUGUGUAUAAGCGCAUAUGGCAAACUUUCGCGUGCCCCAAAUUGGGUUUCUUCUCGGUAAGAUAUCGCAUUGGGCUGAGAAUUUAUUUGGGCCGAAGCGUGGAUUUUUUGGGCCUCAACAGACUGCUUGAUUCUUUUUUAGUUUUUCCAUUAGGGAGUGUAUUCAAUUGAGAUUUUAAAAGACUAUUUUGAGAUAAAAAAGUCUUUUGGUAUUCAAGUUAGACUUUUAAAUAAUCUAAACAAGUUUUGUAGUAUUUCAUUAAGACUAUUAGGAUUUUUAAAAGAGAGUGUCGAAAUCACGUGGCAUUCAAUUAAGACUUUAAACAAGUAACAAAAAUUCUUAUGGUAUUCAAAAACUUGCUAAUUUCGAAAGAUUUUUUAAAAUAUGGAAUUAUGUGGGACUUUUUAGUGGGAGUUAUAAAUACUAAACCUUAUCUCAAAUCUCACCCUAACCUAUGAGAUUUUUCACAUGAAAAUUUUUUUUUUCUCGGGAAAAGAUGAACUUACAUGCACAAAAGGCUUCUCUCUGUGCAUCUCUCGUAUGCGGGUUUAGUUCAAUCGUGCGAAGAGAAGUUGCUCGUGGUACCAAAGCCUCACACCCAGUUGCUGAAUUUCAAUUUUCUCACUCUAUCUCUAAUGGCGGAGCAAAUAGCUCUCCCUCUACUCCUUCACAACCCAGCCCAAAUUUUUGUUAAAAAAAAUUACCUACACUACAUAUGUUCAGCCCACUUAAAUUAUACAAACCUAUCAAACACACCAUCCCAUCCUCCCGUGCAAUUCUUCUCCUCCUUUGCAAAACAGACAUAAGUUCUCUGUAGCCAGCCAACAACUCCUCUCUGCAGCCACUGCCAACAACUCCGCUCAACUUCUCUGCAGCCAGCAACUUCUCUUCUUGGCAACAACAAGUAUUCUUCUCAUUCUCUCCUUUUUAAUUAUCUUAUGCAUCUUUAAUUUGAAUAGAAAAUAUUCUAGGGUUUAAUUAGGAAUGACUUAUAAUUUGGAGAUUUGUUGAAAUUAAUUAGGGUUUUGAUUUUAGAAAUUUUGUUGAGAUGUUCAAUGUGUUGUUGGUAUUGUUGAUAUUUGAUUUGUGUGUUGGUAUGUUUGAUUAAAUGCAUUAAUUUGUUGUUGGUAUUGUUGAGGUGUUUGAUUUGUGUGUUGGUAUUUUUGUUGAAAUGUUUGAUUAAAAUCAUUUCUACAUAUUAUUUAUUUUAUAGGUUAUCUCUUAUUGUGUCUGCUCACAAUCGGAACCCCAAGAAAAUAAUGACUUUGUUGUCUUUUUUUAAGAAAAAGAAUGAUGACAUCAUCUAAUACAAAUAUCAAUUAUCUUGAACAUGAUCCAGAAGUACGUCAUCUAAUAUGCAAAUAUUCGGUGAAGGAACAAGAUAAUGUGCAAAGAGCAUAUAUUCUUUUAGGGUCAUGUCAACCCGAAUUAGAAGAUUAUUCAAGCCACUUAGAAGGGAAAAUCUUACGUUGAUUUAAUAAAAAGUGGUUUGGCCAAUUCUCUUGGCUUGAGUAUUCAGUUGCUACGAACAAGGCAUUUUGUUUUUCUUGUUUCCUAUUUGAUAGAAAUCAAUAAUUUUCGGCCUUGUUUUCCUUGGUUCCUAUCUACAGCAAUAACGGAAUGAGUUUUCUUAUGUAUGAGAAUUAUUGAAUCAACUUAGAAGCACCAAAGGUGAUGAAUUUCUUGCUGAUUGUAUGAUCCUCCACAUUGAAAGAGAGUUUGCCAAUACUAUCGACAAUGCAUCAAUAAUUGAGGAAUUUAAGAGUUCUAAGCCUCGUAGGGUUAAAUUUUAUAUUUAAAUAAUGUUGUUUUGUAUUGCAUUACAUUGCAUUUACUUUUGGUUUUUAUUUUAGUUUUUGUAUUUGUAGAUAUAUAUGAAUUUGAGGGUAAGGCUCAUUACGCUCCCCCUCACUAUAUGUAUCUUUUUAUGUUUAUUAAUAAAAUUCACUCGUACCAUCGAGUUUAGUACAUAAAUUUUGCCCGGUCAGCUUUUGAAUCCUAUGACCGCCACUGCACCACCCUCUUCAAGACCCUUCUUCCAAAACCAAAACCCAGCCACACCAACACCACCUCCACUUCCUCCACCACCAUCGCCGCAGAUAACCCCUCUUCUCUAAGAGCUCCUCCUCCACCCAAACCCCUCAACCCAAAACCGAACCUCCCCUCCCACCCUCGCCAGAGCACGCACUCGCAUCGGCAAGUCACGUGAUGGUAGAACCUUAUAUCUGAAAAAGAAAAGUUGCAAAAAAAUAGAGAAAAGAGAAAAGGAAAUUCAUUUUAUUUCAUUUCAUUAAUUCCUCUUAAGCAAAAGAGAGAGCGUUUAUACAAUUCCUGAUUUUGGCCAGCUGGCUAUGAUCUAGCAAAGUUUCUAACAAAACUUCCUACAAAUAGGGAAAGGACAAAGUUGUUAUUAUGUGUGGGAAUAGCUAGGUGAUGAUACUAAGGGAAUACAAAGGUGAUAGUAAGUGGGCUGCUGUUCACCUGUUUCGUGGUUGUUCCUGUAAUGCUAGGGUGAAGUUCCCCAUUGCCUUGAAAACCAUUGCCUGGUCAACAAGUCAACUUUUUUUAGUGUGCGAGCGUGCCACUGCUAGUAACGAAAAAUCCUAGCAGACUUCGAAAACAGAUAACUUGCGCCCCAAGUUAUUGAUUUCUAAACAAGCGAAUGCGAAUUUGGGUGAGGAAUAUCUCCCAAGUAAGUUCUUUUCUUGCCUCAGACUGGUGAGGACUUCACAAUUUUCACAGUGCAAUAUUGGUAGUUCUGGCUAGAAUAAAUAGUAAGAAAAUGGGUUGUUUUCAGGCAGAACUGACUUUUACAAAACUCGUAAUGGAAAAACCAACUCUAGAAAGACAAAAAGAAGGCUGGACUUCCAUUUCUACCUGGAUAGAUGCUUCUGAUCCGGGCUGGACUGGAUAUGCUUGUACUGGACUGGGCUGUCAGCAAGUUCAACUGUUAAGUUUCAGCUGUAAAUUGAUACCAACGUUCGAGUUUGGCAGAGCUUUAAUCUAUUUCAAGCCAUGGAAGGCUCUUUGAACGGACAGAAUUGCGGCCUCCUCAGUUUGAAAGGGGCAGAAGUGGCUAGAUUCAAGGAUUACUGAGCUGAUACUGCACUGUGAUGCCUGUUUUGCUUGAUCAGGGCUCUUCAUAAAUUUGUUGAGGUUUUCAUAUUUGUAAAAACCUAGGCUCUACUUGUCUUAGCUUUUGCUGAACCAAAUUUGCAACGAGAGAAAUCUCAUUUUAAAUGACUUUUCUCUAAGUCUGAAACUGAAUUGUAGCUGUCUUCUUUCUUGUGGCUCAGUGAGCUUUUGGUUGCUUCAGUUUGCUUGAAGUUCUUUUUGAGAUCAAGUGAUCAUUUUGAGUUUUUGUCAUUUGGCUGAUUUUUGGUUGUUUGAUUCAUUGUUCUUGAUCUGUUCACCUCCUCUCAUAUUUAUAGCAAAUGCUGGAGUGAGUAUUUUAAUCUUUUAAAAUGGGCGGCAGUUUUUCUAAAAAACAAGAUCUUUAUUUUUUUUUAGAAAAAAGGGAAGUUAUCUUUAUCAAAAAUAGACUAUCAAUGGUAAGUUUUAAGUCAAUCACUUCCCUACUUUUCUUUAAAAGACAAUCUAAUCUCUCUGCUCUUGUGAGAUUUCAAUCUACCAUGAUGGUUAGUUUGAUUUUCCAGAUGAGCAACUCCCUGCACCCUACUUAUCUGUUUAGAAAAUAUAGCCUGCUUAUCUCUUGGAAAUGGUACCUGCUUUAGAGCAUAAUUUUUCUGAAUAUAAAAAAGGUAUUGUGAUUUUCUUUUGCCUGAAAAAAGCUGGAGACUUUUGCCUGUUUUAAGACCUGCUUUUAUUAACUCCUUAUUAACCCAGUUGAAAUUGCUGACUUUUCAAAGUCAGGAAUUCUCGUGGGUUUGCCUCCAAUUUUGGGCCUUUCUUCUCUUUUAAUCAUACUCAGGCCCAGGUUGAGUUUUGAAACUGUGGGCUGAUUUUCCUUUUUUGAAGCCCAAAUAACAGUUUUUGGGCUGGGCCUUCUUGGAUUUGGGCUUUUGAAUUCAAAUGCAAAGCCUAAUCUGCUUGGGGCCUGAAAUUGCUUCGUUAUUCUGGGCUUCCAGUGUUGGGCUGAGUGUGUAAUUUUGACAUGGGCUUUUAAUAUUUGGACUGGGUGUGCCAAAUUUAGGCCCAAACAGCUGCAAAGAGUAUUAGGCCCAAAUGGGAUUAGGUCCUAACACGUGACUCCGGCCAUGGCAAGCCUUGGUCCCACCACCACCUCUCCUCUCAAGGUCAGCAUAUCCUUCAUUCCUUUCUUGACCCACAAUUUGAUUCUUCUAAACUAGAUGAGCAGCUUUUGGGUUUCGUUGAAUUGCAUAGAGAUGAAUUUGGUUCUAGGUUGGACUCUCUAUCUCUGGACGCCCUGGGUAUUGUUAGAGCAUCUCCAAUCGAUAUGUCAAAAGUGCCACAUAGACAUUUAACGGCUAUAAAUAACAUCUCACAUCACUCCAACUGAAUUGUCAAAGCUGAUGUGGAAUGAAGGUUGGAGGUUCAGCUGUUAUUUUUGACAUUCCAAAAACAAAAUGUCAAAUGAAUAUUUUAUUAUUUUUAAAGACAACUGGCUGUUACUUUCAUUUAUAAUUUUACUUUUUUAUUUUUUUCUUCUUUAUCUUUAAUGAUUUGAUUGUUACAAUAAUUAUUUAUUUGACAUAUCGGGUGGAGUGUAAGACUGUUUAAAUAUCAAAUUGCCACAUCAGCUAUCAAAUUUAAAUUUGAUGUUUGGUAUUUGACAUCUCCCCAGGAGAUGCUCUUAAAGGUUUAGUAUUCUAACAAAAGUGGGCAGGGUUUCUUCUGCAACUUCUUUGUUUCAGAGUUUGCAUAAGGAUGGGUUUUCUCCAAGCGUUGUGUCUUAUGCAAGAGAUGGUUUAUUGGAAGAGGCAAUAAACAUUUCCAUUUCUGAUUCUUAUAACUUGUUAUCGCUGCGGGCAUUGAGUAAGAUGGGUUGAUGUUGUGAGAGCUAAGUUAAUAUCAUGCCCUCGAUCAUUUUCUUGCAAGUAUGAAUAGAUGUGAUUGCUCUUUGCAUAAUUGCAUGCAAUAUGCAAUAUGGGUUGAUGUUGUGAUUGCUCUUUGAAUAGGUGAGGAAAUGAAAGGGACAGGGAAGGACUUUUGAGUAGGCAAUCAAUCAUUAUAUAUUAACCUACAGGGAAUGUACUUAACCAUACAAUAUUUGCAGCAGAAUAUAGCAUAAACUAAAAUACACUGCAAGCUUUAACUUCUAUCACUUUGCACCUCACCGCUUAUGUUUCGUCAUUAUCAAAACAGCUAACCAGUUGAGUAGUUCAUAAAGAAGAUUUGGAAUUUCAUGGUCAGUCAAACUACUCAAAACUGGAAUUCGACCUCACAGUGUACUCUGCCACAAGCUGAGCAAACGAUGACGACUUGUUCUCUAGCAAUGUCGCAGGAGAAUCAUAUUCCUCAAUGAGCCCUACAACAAGAACAAAGAUACAUUAAAAAAUGAAUAAGAAUUUGAGCUUCAGUGGUAACUAGAGGAAGUUGAAUGCAUUCAUUUGGCAACACUAACCAUGACUCAGAAGCAGAACCAUGUCACUAUCAAGAACAGAAGUUAUACGAUGUGCAAUGGUGAUGACUGUACAGUCAGUAAAGUGUUGGCGAAGGGUCUGCUGGAUGAGAUUAUCUGUAGCUGUAUCGACCGACGCGGUAGCUUCGUCAAGCACCAAGACCUUACUUUUCUUGAGCAGCACACGGCCAAGGCAGACCAACUGCCUCUGACCCAUACUCCAGUUCUCUCCAUUCUCACUAACUGCAGCAACCAUAUGAAACAUAAACAAAAGAAUUUCCAUGACGUAAAAUGAAAUCUAGUGCAUCAUAUAUAGCCUGUAUCUUAGAGUAGCCAUAGAACAAACCUGUGGCAUCCAGCUUUCCUUCCUUUCUCCUAACUUCAUCUCCAAGUUGACACUUAUCCAGGGCCUGAAAAAAUCAAAAGAUGUUUUAACUAGUCCCAUGAAUUUAGCACUGCAAAUCUAUAAAUGAAGAACAUUUAGUAGGAAGAAGAUUCCUUUCAUCAGUGUAAAACCAACCAACCUCCCAAAUUUGCUCAUCUGUGUACUCUUCAAGUGGGUCCAGAUUGCUUCUUACAGUCCCUUCAAACAUGGUUGGGUCCUGAGGGAUAAUGCUCAGCCUAGACCUUAGAUCAUGCAGUCCAAUUGAAGAUAUAUCAAUACCAUCUAUCAAAAUCUGGCCAGAAGCAGGAUCCACAAUUCGGAAAAGGGUCUGUAUGACAGUCGUUUUGCCACUGCCAGUUCUACCCACAAUCCCAGUUUUCAUUCCUCCAGGAAAGCUACAUGUGAUACCUCGCAACACAAGUGGCAUGUGUGGGGCAUACCGGACCUAUAUAAACAUGAAAUUCGAGUCACACAUGAAUGACCCCAUACGUUAUGAAAGAAAUAAACCAGAACAGCAAGUACCUGAAGAUCAUGUAUGUCAACUUUUCCACGUAAUGGCCAAGAACGAUCUGGCUGAUUGGAUUCUAUUACAAGAGGAGGCUCACUGGGAAUGGUAGUGUACUGUAGUAAUCUCUCCACUGAUAUAAUUCUGUUCUCCACAUUGCAAAGAUUCCAUGUAAACCACGACUGUAACGUGUUUAGAUUAAGUCCAUAUGUGACAGCUAAGCCCGCAACACCUUCAGAGUAAAAUACCAAAAACAAAUAAGAAAAGAGAGAACUCAUAGAUUUGCUUUACCAUUUGCUUUCAAAAGAAUAAUUAGUAACACGCUAAAUGAAUGCCACUUGCCUGGAUCAAUCACCCCUUCUGGAAUAGAGAUCAAGAAAACCAAACAGAAUCCAAAAGUUAUAGAUGACAACAUAUCCAAGCGAAAACAUAGCCACUCCAUUGCAGCCGCAGUAUGAAACUUAGGCCGACCAUAACCAUCCAUCAGUUUCAUGUUUGUAUCCCUAAAUCUUGAUUCUUGAUCGAAGCUCCUAAUAGUUGUCGACCCUGAAAUUGUUUCAGCAAAGUGUUGUAUCACUGGAGCUUUGCAUACUCCAACCAACCGUGCCAGUUCUCGUGCUGAAGGUAUGUAGUAUUGCUGCAUGAAUAUAAAAAUUUUGAGCAUCUUUCUUCACAUUUAACAUAGUUCAUAUAGAUUGCUGGCUGUAAUAGGAGUUAGGUUUGUUAUAUGGAUUCAUAUUGUCAAUCAUGUUCCAUGUUGUGCCAAUUUAGAAGUUUCUAAGAACUGUAGCAGAAAAAGGUGGAAGAAAAUGUUAAUAUAUCAACUUAGUGAACUUUUGUGUCAAUAAGGAAGCCAAGUUCCUCAGUUCCACAUCAAAUAGAAGGUAGAGCAUGUAUAGGAAUGAAUAACGAGCAUCAACAGUGCAUGAUCAACAAAGAAUUAACACUAAAGGGACAUUAACAUUUCCAUGUUAGAUUUCAUGUGGAAAUUCAUGUAUUGAUACAACAUAUAAGAGAGAAGCAGUAGGACAAAGAAGCGUUACCUGUAACCAGAUACAGAUUGCAAUCACAGGGAUAAAAAUGAUGAAAACCUGCCGUGCAACUUGCGAGAUCACUGCAAUAAUUCCCAGAAGAUGGAUCGAUGAGUUGGCAAGGGCCCCAAUUUGACCCGGCAUGUUCAAGUCCACUACAUUUUGGUCUGUAGAAGCCUGCAAGAAAUCAAUUAGCUACAUUGAUGAGAUUACUGCAUUCAGUACAGCAGCAGAGGGAGUGGUAGCUGUUUAAAGCAUCUAAUUCUCUUUGAAUAUCCCAAUAAGGCACUAUAUUAGAAAUAUAUUUUGCUUACUCUGUUUAGGAUUCGUCCACUUGGAGUGGCAUCAAAGAAAGACAUGGGAGCACGGAAAACGCAUGAAUGCAUUUUACUAAAGAGUAGAGUGGCUGUCUUGUACCCAGCUGUUGCAAGAAACAUGGAUCUGAAGAGGAUACAAAAAGAACUUCCAACGGCCAAAGCAACAUAAACAGUUAGAAGUGUAGAGGUUUGAACAGCAGGUUUCACAUCCUCUGAAACAGGAGUUGCCCAAGCCAUCCAGUAAUUGCUUCCAAUUUGAAGGACCUGAAAGAGAACCUGUGCAAGCAAGAUAAACGGAACAAGAGCACCUCCGUAUGCUGUGGUGAUGUACUUCCAGUAGACUGACAACCCAACUCUACCUUUCUCUCUCUCUUCUUCUUGAACAAGCUGCCCUUUUGGUAAAUCAUCUGUUUUAGAAUUUUGAACAUCAGUGUCUUCUACGUUUUGGACAACCCCACUAGUACUAGCAAAUUCUCCAUCUUCUUUGCUAACGCUUAUUUUUUCAACUGGCUCCACCUCUGCAGAAUUAAGCACGGACAAAGCUUCCGCGUGUGCUCCCACAAGUUCCAUAAAAUCAGUUCCUGAAUUAAGAAUGUCAUUGAACUUUCCUGCUUGAGUAAUCCUUCCGUCUUUCAUGACCUAAUGACAAACAAAUAAGUUUAAGCAGACAGAUACUAACUAGAUAAUAACAUGUCUUCUGGAUUUUUUACCAAGAUGAGGUCAGCAGCAGGUAAGAACUCCAUUUGAUGAGUAACAAAGAUUACUGUUUUUGAACCCAAGAGACCCAGCAAGCAUUCCUGUAGUGCAAUUAUCAAGCAAACAAAUUAAUAAUGAGCUGUCAAUUUUACGGAUGCCAGUAAUUCUAUGAUGUAAAUAAGUUUGGAUACUCAAUUUAAACUAGAUGUAAUCACACUACAAGAGGGAAAUGAAAUACCUUAAAAAGGUGUGAUCCUGUAUGAGCAUCAACAGCGCUAAAAGGAUCAUCAAACAGAUAAAUAUCAGCGUCUUGAUACAGAGCACGUGCAAUUUGUAUUCUUUGCUUCUGUCCACCACUUAAAUUGAUUCCCCUCUCCCCUAUAAUUGUCUGAUCACCAAACGAUAGAAUUUCCAGGUCCUUCUUUAAUGAACAUGCUUCAAGCACCCUCUCAUAUCUUUCUCUGUCCAUCUCUUGACCAAACAAUAUGUUUUCCUCUAUCUUGCCACUCUGUAUCCACGGUGACUGAGAAACAUAGGCCUUUGUCCCACACAUUUUAAGAGUCCCCGAUAUCUUCGGAACUUCUCCCAGAAUACAAGAAAGUAAGCUAGACUUGCCUGAGCCAACAGUACCACAAACAGCAACCCUCAUACCUUGGCUCACUUUGAAAUUUAGAUCCUUCAAUGUUGGACUAGGGGAUGAUAAAUCCCAAGAGAAAUUCCCAUCGACUAUCUCAAUUGCUGUAUCAGAACUACCUCUUGGAAGGUUCUCUAUAACGUCAGGAGGCAAGUCAUCAAGACUAAGGAAUGAUGCAAUUCUAUCAAGGGAUACCUUAGUUUGUGCUAUCAUUGAAAUUAAGUCUGGAAGACCGUAGAUAGGCUCUUGAAGAAUCCUGAAUGUUGCAAGUGCAGAUAAGAUCUUCCCCGACUCAAGUGGGAUCCCCAAAAGCAUGCAAGCAACGAACGUGACCACUGACACAAAUGUGGGGGCACCCCAGAAAACAAAUGAGGUCAUGGCAGACGUGUAAACAAACUUUCGUAACCAUCCCGCCUCAGUCUUCCUGAGAUCAUUAAUUUUAGACAAAAACUUCAUCUCCCAUGCUUGAAACUUGAGAAUCCUCAUGUUCCUCAAGACCUCAGAUGUUGCCUUCAUCCUUUU